AUGCAAGGACGGUUGGUCGGAGAUCACGGUGAUUGGAAGCUUUGUACGGGAGUUGUCUAUAUUUCACAACGUCAGAUCCAGAGCAGAAAGACUGUGUGGUAUGAAGGUUAUGGUUUUGUUGUUGUUUGUUCCGAAUCGAUCUUCUACAGGUUUUUGUAUAUGACCUUUUGGGCAAGUUUGGGACAACAAAGAUAUGGACAAUACAACAUGCUGUAUGCGGGUUUUUGGACUGACCUAUUUGGACUAAUAUGCAGGGUUGUUUCUGGUUUGGGGCAGCAGUAUGGUGGAGUUAGUUUAUGCAGAGCUUUGACUUGUUUAUGGAUAGUAUGCAGAGGAAAACAGAGCAGCAACUGCAGGCUUAGCAGUUUUUUUAGAGUGUAG
Molecule: long non-coding RNA, 381 nt
Filed under: Vicia faba (fava bean)
Lineage: Eukaryota; Viridiplantae; Streptophyta; Magnoliopsida; Fabales; Fabaceae
Source: RNAcentral